AUCUCAGUUCGGAUUGUGGUCUGCAACCCGACUACAUGAAGCUGGAAUCGCUAGUAAUCGCGAAUCAGAAUGUCGCGGUGAAUACGUUCCCGGGCCUUGUACACACCGCCCGUCACACCAUGGGAGUCGGAAAUGCCCGAAGUCAGUGACCCAACCUUAGGGAGGGAGCAGCCGAAGGCAGGUCGGAUGACUGGGGUGAAGUCGUAACAAGGUAAC
RNAcentral lists this ribosomal RNA (216 nucleotides) under uncultured bacterium. RNAcentral's name for it is "partial 16S ribosomal RNA". It matches the Rfam family "Bacterial small subunit ribosomal RNA", at positions 1285 to 1500 of the family's 1533-position model. The record is from RNAcentral.